CGGGGGGGGCAAGCGUUGUUCGGAAUUACUGGGCGUAAAGGGCGCGUAGGCGGCCUACUAAGUCGGACGUGAAAUCCCUCGGCUCAACCGAGGAACUGCGUCCGAUACUGGCAGGCUGGAAUCCGGGAGAGGGAUGUGGAAUUCCAGGUGUAGCGGUGAAAUGCGUAGAUAUCUGGAGGAACACCGGUGGCGAAGGCGGCAUCCUGGACCGGUAUUGACGCUGAGGCGCGAAAGCUAGGGGAGCAAACGGGAUUAGAUACCCCGGUAGUCCUAGCCCUAAACGAUGAGUGCUUGGUGUGGCGGGUAUCGAUCCCUGCCGUGCCGAAGCUAACGCAUUAAGCACUCCGCCUGGGGAGUACGGUCGCAAGGCUG
Molecule: ribosomal RNA, 372 nt
Filed under: uncultured organism
Description: bacterial SSU rRNA
Rfam family: Bacterial small subunit ribosomal RNA
Source: RNAcentral